RNAcentral lists this Y RNA (96 nucleotides) under Prolemur simus (greater bamboo lemur). RNAcentral's name for it is "Y RNA (ENSPSMG00000007781.1)". It matches the Rfam family "Y RNA". From Rfam's summary of the family: Y RNAs are components of the Ro ribonucleoprotein particle (Ro RNP), in association with Ro60 and La proteins. The record is from Rfam by way of RNAcentral. Lineage: Eukaryota; Metazoa; Chordata; Mammalia; Primates; Lemuridae.
AGCUGGUCUGAUGGUAGUGGGUUAUCAGGACUUACUAACAUUAGUGUCACUAAAGUUGGUAUUCAAACCCCCACUGCUAAAUUUGACUGGCUAAAA